RNAcentral lists this unclassified non-coding RNA (324 nucleotides) under soil metagenome. RNAcentral's name for it is "partial contains 5.8S ribosomal RNA, internal transcribed spacer 2, and large subunit ribosomal RNA". The stretch from base 1 to 120 matches the Rfam family "5.8S ribosomal RNA", at positions 35 to 154 of the family's 154-position model. The record is from RNAcentral.
GAUGAAGAACGCAGCGAAAUGCGAUAAGUAAUGUGAAUUGCAGAAUUCAGUGAAUCAUCGAGUCUUUGAACGCACAUUGCGCCCUGUGGUAUUCCGCAGGGCAUGCCUGUUCGAGCGUCAUUUCAUCCCUCAAGCCUCGCUUGGUGUUGGGCCCUGCCCGCCGCGGCCGGCCCUAAAGAUAGUGGCGGCGCCGCCUGGCCCUCAGCGUAGUACAGCUCUCGCUCCAGGGUCCGGCGGCAGCCUGCCAGAACCCCCCAACUCUGUGGUUGACCUCGGAUCAGGUAGGGAUACCCGCUGAACUUAAGCAUAUCAAUAAGCGGAGGA